This 252-nucleotide ribosomal RNA is filed under the name uncultured bacterium. Its description in RNAcentral is "partial 16S ribosomal RNA". It matches the Rfam family "Bacterial small subunit ribosomal RNA", at positions 524 to 776 of the family's 1533-position model. The record is from RNAcentral.
GACAGAGGGUGCAAACGUUGCUCGGAAUCACUGGGCGUAAAGGGCGUGUAGGCGGGAGGGAAAGUCAGAUGUGAAAUCCCCAGGCUCAACCUGGGAACUGCAUUUGAAACUCCCUUCUUGAGUAUCGGAGAGGAAAGCGGAAUUCCUGGUGUAGAGGUGGAAUUCGUAGAUAUUAGGAAGAACACCAGUGGCGAAGGCGGCUCACUGGUCCGGUACUGACGCUGAGGUGCGAAAGCGUGGGGAGCAAACAGG